AUUGAACGCUGGCGGCAUGCUUUACACAUGCAAGUCGAACGGCAGCGCGGGCCUCGGCCUGGCGGCGAGUGGCGAACGGGUGAGUAAUACAUCGGAACGUGCCCAGUAGUGGGGGAUAGCUCGGCGAAAGCCGGAUUAAUACCGCAUACGACCUGAGGGUGAAAGCGGGGGAUCUUCGGACCUCGCGCUAUUGGAGCGGCCGAUGGCAGAUUAGCUAGUUGGUGGGGUAAAGGCCUACCAAGGCGACGAUCUGUAGCUGGUCUGAGAGGACGACCAGCCACACUGGGACUGAGACACGGCCCAGACUCCUACGGGAGGCAGCAGUGGGGAAUUUUGGACAAUGGGCGAAAGCCUGAUCCAGCAAUGCCGCGUGUGUGAUGAAGGCCUUCGGGUUGUAAAGCACUUUUGGCGGGAACGAAAAGGACUGUGCCAAUACCACGGUUUGAUGACGGUACCCGCAGAAUAAGCACCGGCUAACUACGUG
RNAcentral lists this ribosomal RNA (484 nucleotides) under uncultured bacterium. RNAcentral's name for it is "partial 16S ribosomal RNA". It matches the Rfam family "Bacterial small subunit ribosomal RNA", at positions 29 to 507 of the family's 1533-position model. The record is from RNAcentral.